Molecule: non-coding RNA, 135 nt
Organism: Xenopus tropicalis (tropical clawed frog)
Lineage: Eukaryota; Metazoa; Chordata; Amphibia; Anura; Pipidae
Source: Rfam
CGCUACGGCCAUACCACCCUGAAAGCGCCCGAUCUCGUUUGAUCUCGGAAGCUAAGCAGGGACGGGCUUGGUUAGUACCUGGAUGGGAGACCGCCUGGAUUGGAGACCGCCUGGGAAUACCAGUAGAAGCGGCUA